This 495-nucleotide ribosomal RNA is filed under the name uncultured bacterium. RNAcentral describes it as "partial 16S ribosomal RNA". It matches the Rfam family "Bacterial small subunit ribosomal RNA", at positions 28 to 507 of the family's 1533-position model. The record is from RNAcentral.
GACGAAUGCUGGCGGCGUGCCUAAUACAUGCAAGUAGAACGCUGAAGGAGGAGCUUGCUUCUCUGGAUGAGUUGCGAACGGGUGAGUAACGCGUAGGUAACCUGCCUGGUAGCGGGGGAUAACUAUUGGAAACGAUAGCUAAUACCGCAUAAUAGCAGUUGUUGCAUGACAACUGUUUGAAAGGUGCAAAUGCAUCACUACCAGAUGGACCUGCGUUGUAUUAGCUAGUUGGUGGGGUAAAGGCUCACCAAGGCGACGAUACAUAGCCGACCUGAGAGGGUGAUCGGCCACACUGGGACUGAGACACGGCCCAGACUCCUACGGGAGGCAGCAGUAGGGAAUCUUCGGCAAUGGACGGAAGUCUGACCGAGCAACGCCGCGUGAGUGAAGAAGGUUUUCGGAUCGUAAAGCUCUGUUGUAAGAGAAGAACGAGUGUGAGAGUGGAAAGUUCACACUGUGACGGUAUCUUACCAGAAAGGGACGGCUAACUACGUG